AUGCAGAGCAAUAAAACCUUUAACUUGGAGAAGUAAAACCAUAAUCCAAGGAAGCAUCAUCAGCAUCACCACCAGCAGCAAGAGCAGCAGCCACCACUGCCACCAAUACCUGCAAAUGGGCAACAAGCCAGCAGCCAAAAUGAAGGCUUGACUAUUGACCUGAAGAAUUUUAGGAAACCAGGAGAGAAGACCUUCACCCAACGUAGCCGGCUUUUUGUGGGCAAUCUUCCUCCUGACAUCACUGAGGAGGAGAUGGAUAAGGGCUUUGGCUUUAUCUGCUUGGAAACACGAACCCUAGCAGAGAUUGCCAAAGUAGAACUGGACAACAUGCCACUCCGUGGAAAGCAGCUGCGUGUGCGCUUUGCCUGCCAGAGUGCAUCCCUUACAGUCCGAAACCUUCCUCAGUAUGUUUCCAAUGAACUGCUGGAGGAAGCCUUUUCGGUGUUUGGCCAGGUGGAAAGGGCUGUAGUCAUCGUGGAUGAUAGAGGAAGGCCCUCAGGAAAAGGUAUUGUUGAAUUCUCAGGGAAGCCAGCUGCUCGGAAAGCUCUGGACAGGUGCAGUGAAGGCUCCUUCCUGCUAACCACAUUUCCUUGGCCUGCGACUGUGGAGCCCAUGGACCAGUUGGAUGAUGAAGAGGGACUUCCAGAGAAGCUGGUUAUAAAGAACCAGCAAUUUCACAAGGAGCGAGAGCAGCCACCCAGAUUUGCACAGCCUGGCUCCUUUGAGUAUGAGUAUGCCAUGCGCUGGAAGGCACUCACGGAGAUGGAGAAGGAGCAGCAGGACCAAGUGGACCACAACAUCAAGGAAGCUCGUGAGAAGCUGCAGAUGGAGAUGGAGGCCACUCGCCAUGAGCACCAGGUCAUGCUAAUGAGACAGGAUUUGAUGAGGCGUCAAGAAGAACUUUGGAGGAUGGAAGAGCUGCACAACCAAGAAGUGCAAAAACGAAAGCAACUGGAGCUCAGGCAGAAGGAGGAACGCAGGCGCCGUGAGGAAGAGAUGCGGCGGCAACAGGAAGAAAUGAUGUGGCGACAGCAGGAAGGAUUCAAGGGAACAUUCCCUGAUGCGAGAGAACAGGAGAUACGGAUGGGCCAGAUGGCUAUGGGAGGUGCUACGGGCAUCAACAACAGAGGCGCCAUGCCCCCUGCUCCAGUGCCAGCAGGUACCCCAGCUCCUCCAGGACCUGCCACUAUGAUGCCAGAUGGAACCUUGAUAUUGACCCCAUCAACAACUGAACGCUUUGGCCAAGCUGCUACAAUGCAAGGAAUUGGGGCACUUGGUGGAACCCCUCCUGCAUUCAACCGUGCAGCUCCUGGAGCUGAAUUUGCUCCAAACAAACGUCACUGAUACUAAUAAAAAUUUCAACGUCUAGUUUCCCCAAAACCCUUAAAAGAAGGACCCUUUUUGGACUAGCCAGAAUUCUGCCCUGGAAAAGUGUUAGGGAUUCCUCCCAAUAGUUAGGUCUUCCUUGCCUGUACUACUCUGAGGGAGUUUGCUGGAGGCUGAGAGCAAGGGAGGGGUGAUAUUUAACAGAUCAGUUCUGUGUGGUAUAUCGUUUAACUCAUUGAUUUUGUAUGGCACAUUCCUGAAGUCUCAUGUGAUUGUUGGGGGCCU
This is an RNA transcript of Odobenus rosmarus divergens (Pacific walrus), 1611 nucleotides long. It is a transcript of the gene named non-POU domain-containing octamer-binding protein-like, with no coding region annotated. The transcript has 2 exons. The record is from RefSeq and is a predicted model, not a curated record. Lineage: Eukaryota; Metazoa; Chordata; Mammalia; Carnivora; Odobenidae.